Molecule: long non-coding RNA, 3249 nt
Filed under: Salmo salar (Atlantic salmon)
Lineage: Eukaryota; Metazoa; Chordata; Actinopteri; Salmoniformes; Salmonidae
Description: lncRNA (ENSSSAG00000102405.1, ENSSSAG00000118856.1)
Source: RNAcentral
CUGGCCACAGCCUACGUCCAGAGUACAGCUGCAACGUUUCCUGGGAUUCGCCAAAUUUUAUCGUCACUUUAUCUGGGGCUACAGCACCCUGGCUUCCCCCGUCUGAACUCACCUCUCCCAAGGUUCUGUUCACGUGGUCCCCAGCUGCUGACCAGGCAUUCCGGAAUUUCAAACACCGCUUCACCACAGCUCCCAUCUUGGUUCAUCCUGACCCGUCCCACCAGUUCGUGGUGGAGGCAGAUGUUUCGGAUGUCAGAGUGGGGGCUGUCCUGUCCCAGCGGUCUGCCUGGACCUCAAGUUACAUCCCUGCGCCUUCUUCUCCCACCGCCUCAAUGCCACAGAGAGGAACUACGAUGUGGGGAAUCGUGAGCUUCUUGCGGUGAAGAUGGUGGUGGAGGAGUGGAGGCACUGGCUGGAGGGGGCGGAACAUCCAUUAAUUGUGUGGACCACAAGAACCUGGAAUAUCUUCCAGGCAGGCUAGGUGGGCCCUACUGUUCACCUGGGUUCAACUUCUCCCUCUCCUACUGGUCGGGAUCCAAGAAUGUCAAGCUGGAUGCGCUGUCACGCCGCUAUAGCACCACAACUACUACCCGGAACCUGAGACCAUCCUUCCCACCUCCGUCCUGGCGACGGCACUCAGCUGGGGAAUAGGGAAGCAGGUUUGGGAGACGCAGCGUUCCCAGCCGAACCCCGGGGGGUCCAGAUAACCAAAUGUUCGUGCCUGACGCAGUCUGCUCCGUGGUCCUGGAGUGGGCCCACUCCUGACGCAGUCUGCUCCGCGGUCCUGGAGUGGGCCCACUCCUGACGCAGUCUGCUCCGCGGUCCUGGAGUGGGCCUACUCCUCCAGGCUUGCCUGUCACCCGAGCUCCCGUCGGACCCUGGCUUUUGUGCGACAAUGCUUUUGGUGGCCUACCAUGGUUCCUGACGUCUCCGCAUUCAUAGCUGCUUGCACGGUCUGUGCACAGAACAAGACUCCACGGCAAGCUCUGGUUGGUCUCUUCAAACCUCAUGCCUGUCAUUCACCAUCCCUGGUCUCACAUCUCCCUGGACUUUGUCACGGGUCUUCCCCCGUCUGAUGGCAACACCACCAUCCUGACCAUAGUGGAUCGGUUUUCCAAAGCCGUCCACUUCAUUCCUCUCCCCAAGCUACCCUCUGCCAAAGAGACGGCCCAGCUCAUGAUGCAGCACGUCUUCCGGGUCCAUGGACUAGACAUGGAGUAGACAUGGUCCAGUAGACAUGGUCUCCGACCAGGAUCCUCAGUUGUCGUCCCGGUUCUGGAAGGCGUUCUGCACCCUCAUUGGGUCAUUGGCCAGCCUGUCCUCCGGGUUCCAACACCAGUCCAACGGCCAGUCGGAGCGAACCAACCAAGACCUUGACUACUCUGCGCUGCCUGGUCUCCGCCAACCCCACCACCUGGAGCCAGCAGCUUGUGUGGGUCGAAUACGCCCGCAACACCCUUCCCUGCUCUGCCACGGGCCUAUCAUCUUUUGAGUGUUCCCUGGGGUAUCAGCCCCCACUCUUCCCUGAGCAGGAAGAAGAGUUUGGCAUACCUUCGGCGCAGAUGUUUGUCUGCCGCUGUCAUUGUACCUGAAGGAGAGCCCGGUCGGCCCUCCUGAAGACCACCUCCAGGUAUCGACGACAAGCGGAUCGCCACCGGACCCCAUAUCCCCAGUAUCGUCUCGGGCAGAAGAUAUGGCUGUCCACCCGGGAUCUGCCCCUCCGGGUCGAAUCCCGCAAACUCUCCCCCCGGUUUAUCGGCCCGUUUCCCAUCUCCAAAGUCAUUAGCCUCUCUGCUGUUCAUCUUCUGUUGCCCCGUACCGUUCAUAUACAUCACACCUUUCAUGUGUCCAGAGUUAAACCCAUGUCUCACAGCCCUUUGUCUCCUGUUUCUAUACCUUGAUCCCGACCUCACUGGAUUAUUGACCCCUGCCUGCCCUGACCCUGAGACUGCCUGCCAUUCAGGACCCUUUGCACCUUCUCUGAAUUUCUGACCCCUGCCUGCCCUUGUAUUAGAAAUAAACUUUUGUUUCUUCGACACUGUCUGCAUCUGGGUCAUAGCUGAAAUGUGAUAAAACUGGUCUUUUAGAAUAUAAUAGGUUAUUAAAACUGCAAUGGCACUAUAGCAAGACAUUUUUAUGCAGUAGUUUACUUACUUUGUGUAAAGGCCGAAAGGUCUCAUAACAAAUGGGUUACCUGUCUCUCUGCUGGACAUAAUGCAUUCCUAAGGGAUUUUACCUAAAGUGACGUGUACUGGGCAGGAUUCGUAUAACAUUUCAUAAAAUUUACACAAAAGAGGAUAUCAUAUUAUAUAUUAUUGCAAUCAGUAGACAUCAGGGAACACCCAUAUAUCUUUUAGUGUUUACAUGCAAACUUUUGGAACUAGCAAUUUUAUUGUCUUUUCCAGACCACCUCAAACAUUUUAAGCCAUCAUUGGGCUAUAUGUUCCAAUAGUUUAUUGAAAUAUAGACAUGUGAAUCGUGUCCAAUACGGCUCCAUGCAGCUGGUUGGCAGCUGUACAAAAUCCCUCAGAUUGGAGGAGCAUACUACAGAGAUGAACUUGAUUAAGUUGAUUUCACCUGUUGACUCUCUCUCAAUGCCACACACUUGUCACUAAUUAUCAGGCCUGCCCUGAUAGGCUCAUUCACACUUUUAAUUUGUAUUUAAAUCCUGUUCAUUUUGCACAAGCUGGACAUCCAUGAAUAGGAAUUUGUUCUUAACUGACUUGCCUAGUUAAAUAAAGGUAAAAUAAAAUAAAUAAAAAAUCCUAUUAGCGCUCUGAGAUACAUUGGAAUAGAAAUGGUCAAGAUGUCAUGCAACGGAGAGGACAUUGAGAGGAAACUACUAAGGGAAUCUUUCUGGAUCCACAGGCUCAACACACUGUCUCCUCUUGGCCUUAAUGAGGAGUUUGACUUUAAACUUUCUUUAGCUCUAAAAAUGUACAAACUACUGUUUUUACCUUAAUUGAAUAGUGAAGUGAUGUCACUGAGCACUGUUCCUAUAUAUAGGACCUCCCACCCCCACCUGGGAUAUGGAUGCCUGAUGAAGACCUAAGGGUCGAAACGUUGUAACAAUACAAUCACCUGGGAGCAUGAACAGCAGUGUGCGGCGCUUUUGUUUUUCAUGUAUUUACAUCCUGUCAAGACUUUCCUCAGUUUCUUUCCAGUUGUAUGCAUCCAAGUUAAAAAACCACACACAAAUCCAACUUUACCAUGUCCAACCACAAGCCCUCAAUAAAUAUGUGAACUUUG